AUCCCUGUAGCGCAAUGAAUAGCGCUUUAAACUUCUAGUCAAAAGGUCGUGGGUUCUAAUCCCUCCUGGGAUA
Trichonephila clavata is the source of this 73-nucleotide non-coding RNA. The record is from the annotation of a GenBank genome assembly. Lineage: Eukaryota; Metazoa; Arthropoda; Arachnida; Araneae; Nephilidae.